Molecule: long non-coding RNA, 2155 nt
Organism: Sus scrofa (pig)
Lineage: Eukaryota; Metazoa; Chordata; Mammalia; Artiodactyla; Suidae
Source: RefSeq, a predicted model, not a curated record
CCUUUUAGUAUGAAAGAAGCCUGAAAUCUGAUUUGUAUAGAUGGCUCUCUAAGACAUUGUCCACCCUCUUCUUGGACUCCAGGCUUUGCAAAUAUUGCCAUUCCUCAUCCUAACACCUCGUCCCUUGAUUUACUGGCCUGUUGUGGGUAAGCAGAAUGGGCUUGGACUCUUUCCAUCACAGCUUCAGAUUCUACAGCAGAGACAGAAAGAUCUAAUUUUCAAGGAUUAAAAAUGUCUGAUGCCUUGGCUAUAUGGCAGUGUUUCCCAUGGACAGAGAUGAUGUAUUCCCAACCAGAUUUGCAAAGUAUUCCACUAACUGCCUCAUAACUGUCAUAUCUAUGGAAAAAUCUCAGCAUGCCUCAGCAUCAAGAAAGCUCUUGAUACAUACAUCACAACACAACAUUGGGAGGAAAAAAAAUAUGUAUACAUGUGUGUGUAACUUGGUCCCCAUGCUGUACAGUGGAAAAAAAAUAAAUAAAUAAAAGAAAGCUCUCGAAUGUUGAAAUACACAAAAGUCUAUUUUAGAUCUCUGUGUCUCAUCUGAGUUCUGCUUAGGUAAACCCAGUUAGAUUUAAUGAUGCUGUCAUGCAUUUGUUAUUAAGUUAUAUUAAUAUGGGUCAAUCAGACCCUUGAGAUAUGUUUGCCCCUCUAGGUUCCCUGCCUAGAUUAGAUGCCCAGGCAAUUUCUGUCUAGCUCCAAAGCCAGAGUUGUCCACAACAGCCUCUUGCCUUCAUAAUGUCACUUAUCUGGAAGUCUAAGCUUAAGAAUGAGAAACAGAAUUUGUGUGGUCCUAUCUGAUACUGAAAUCUCACCUUUGCCUGUAUCCCUGGUCUUGCCUCCUGGAUCUCCCACUUUUAAAAAAAAGUCAUGAUUUUUUAAGAUCUUCCUCUGUUCCUACUAGAAUUGUCUGGAUGGGGUAACUUCUCCGGGAAUGUGUAGGGUAAGGUAGGGAUGGGGGAGGAACUGAGGUGUCUAUAUUCAAAAAUAACAUGUUCUAGACAGAGAAGACGCAUUGUGAUCCAUCCCAAUACAAGAAUAGUACCAUAUGUAAACAUUCUUAAAUAUUUUAUGUUAUAAAUAAAAUAAGAGAAUGAUAUACAGGUUGAUAUCUUCUAUAAUUGGGGAAACACAUCCUUUGUGCCAAGAACUGUAUCAUGCACUAGAGACAAAGGGUUAAAAGACACAAUCCUUAUUCUGAAGGAGCUCACAGCACUGUGAGGAACCAACUAGAGAGCAGUGCAAGAGCUAUGAGAGGACAGCAUUAAACGAGACGGAGCAGAUGGAAUGGAUGCCUAGCUCAGACUGUAAACAGCUGGAAAACUUCCUGGAGAAGGUGACCUAUCAGGUGAAUUUUAAAGGAACUGAAUUUCAGGCAGACGAAAUAGCACAACAGCAGUUUCAAAGCUGUGGAGAAACAGCCCAUGUACGGCCCUGCAAGUUUUCCAGCAAAGGUCUUAAUGGUCAGUGGCAGGAGAUGGAGAUGAAGGGGUUAAGAGGGCCGCUUGCUUAAGGCUGUCAGACGUCUUGGUAAGGAUUCUGGAUUCUGUCCUAGGCUAUGGGGAGUUACUGCAGGAUUUUAAGUAGUCAAGGGGAAUGAUGGGAUUUCCAUUUUAGAAUGCGUUCUCUGGCUACAUCCACGUACCUGGGGAAGGAUGCAGGGGACACACAGAUACAGGCAGACUAGAGGGCAGUUGUGGCCAUUCAGGAAAGAAAUGAUGAGGGUCUUAUCUUACCCUGGAGUAAGAUAGUACAAAGGUAAAAGAGGCCAAAUACGACUGCUGGUUACACGGCUGAGGAGAUGGGCAUAAGGGAAAGAGUGCUGGCUCGCCAGGAUGUCCCAGGUUUCUGGCUUUGGCAACCAGGUAAAAGGUGAUGAUGUUCACAGAAAUGGGGAGCAACAGUGGGAGGGGAGAGUUGGCUGAAGGUAGAUACAACUACCCCGAGUUACCUACCACAUGUGCAGGUGGAUGGGCAGGACCAGGACUGGGGUGAGGGCAACAGGAUGCAAAUAGGAAGGGGCAGGAUAAACACUAUGUUGAUGUAAAGUAAUUACAUCAAAAUUAAGGCAGAGGGAGUUCCCUUCGUGGCUCAGGGGUUAACGAACCCAACUAGGAUCCAUGAAGAUGCAGGUGUGAUCCCUGACCUCGAUCAGGGG